UUUGGUGUAGCUCAGUGGAUAGAGCACAUGGCUUGCAUAGGUGAGGUCCUGGGUUCAAUUUCCAGCACCAAAA
Molecule: transfer RNA, 73 nt
Filed under: Fukomys damarensis (Damara mole-rat)
Lineage: Eukaryota; Metazoa; Chordata; Mammalia; Rodentia; Bathyergidae
Rfam family: tRNA
About the family: Transfer RNA (tRNA) molecules are approximately 80 nucleotides in length.
Source: Rfam by way of RNAcentral